This 1315-nucleotide ribosomal RNA is filed under the name unidentified marine bacterioplankton. RNAcentral's name for it is "bacterial SSU rRNA". It matches the Rfam family "Bacterial small subunit ribosomal RNA", at positions 9 to 1371 of the family's 1533-position model. The record is from RNAcentral.
GAGUUUGAUCAUGGCUCAGGAUGAACGCUGGCGGCGUGCUUAACACAUGCAAGUCGAACGAACCUUCGGGUUAGUGGCGGACGGGUGAGUAACGCGUGAGAAUCUGCCCUCAGGAGGGGGAUAACAGCUGGAAACGGCUGCUAAUACCCCAUAUGCCGCGAGGUGAAAUGAAUUUCGCCUGAGGAUGAGCUCGCGUCUGAUUAGCUAGUUGGUGUAGGUAAUGGCUCACCAAGGCUUCGAUCAGUAGCUGGUCUGAGAGGAUGAUCAGCCACACUGGGACUGAGACACGGCCCAGACUCCUACGGGAGGCAGCAGUGGGGAAUUUUCCGCAAUGGGCGAAAGCCUGACGGAGCAACGCCGCGUGAGGGAUGAAGGCCUCUGGGCUGUAAACCUCUUUUAUCAAGGAAGAAGAUCUGACGGUACUUGAUGAAUAAGCCACGGCUAAUUCCGUGCCAGCAGCCGCGGUAAUACGGGAGUGGCAAGCGUUAUCCGGAAUUAUUGGGCGUAAAGCGUCCGCAGGCGGCCCUUCAAGUCUGCUGUUAAAAAGUGGAGCUUAACUCCAUCAUGGCAGUGGAAACUGUUGGGCUUGAGUGUGGUAGGGGCAGAGGGAAUUCCCGGUGUAGCGGUGAAAUGCGUAGAUAUCGGGAAGAACACCAGUGGCGAAGGCGCUCUGCUGGGCCAUCACUGACGCUCAUGGACGAAAGCCAGGGGAGCGAAAGGGAUUAGAUACCCCUGUAGUCCUGGCCGUAAACGAUGAACACUAGGUGUCGGGGGAAUCGACCCCCUCGGUGUCGUAGCCAACGCGUUAAGUGUUCCGCCUGGGGAGUACGCACGCAAGUGUGAAACUCAAAGGAAUUGACGGGGGCCCGCACAAGCGGUGGAGUAUGUGGUUUAAUUCGAUGCAACGCGAAGAACCUUACCAGGGUUUGACAUCCUGCGAAUCUCUUGGAAACGAGAGAGUGCCUUCGGGAACGCAGUGACAGGUGGUGCAUGGCUGUCGUCAGCUCGCGUCGUGAGAUGUUGGGUUAAGUCCCGCAACGAGCGCAACCCACGUCUUUAGUUGCCAGCAUUUAGUUGGGCACUCUAGAGAGACUGCCGGUGAUAAACCGGAGGAAGGUGUGGAUGACGUCAAGUCAUCAUGCCCCUUACAUCCUGGGCUACACACGUACUACAAUGCUACGGACAAAGGGCUGCAAGUUCGCGAGGACAAGCAAAUCCCAUAAACCGUGGCUCAGUUCAGAUCGUAGGCUGCAACUCGCCUACGUGAAGGCGGAAUCGCUAGUAAUCGCAGGUCAGCAUACUGCGGUGAAUACGU